Molecule: ribosomal RNA, 253 nt
Filed under: uncultured bacterium
Lineage: Bacteria
Description: partial 16S ribosomal RNA
Rfam family: Bacterial small subunit ribosomal RNA
Source: RNAcentral
UACGGAGGGUGCAAGCGUCGUUCGGAAUUACUGGGCGUAAAGCGCGUGUAGGCGGUCUGGCAGGUCGGUUGUGAAAUCCCCGGGCUCAACCCGGGAACUGCAUCCGAAACUUCCAGGCUCGAGUUCCGGAGAGGAAGGCAGAAUUCCCAAUGUAGGGGUGAAAUCCGUAGAUAUUGGGAGGAAUACCAGUGGCGAAGGCGGCCUUCUGGACGGUGACUGACGCUGAGACGCGAAAGCGUGGGGAGCAAACGGG